UUUUUUUUUUUUUCCCCCCCUUUUUUUUUAAACAUCGCCUCCUGCAACAUAACCAAGUAUAGGAGGUCCAGCCUGCCCAGUGACCACAAGUUCAACGGCCGCGGUAUUUUGACCGUGCAAAGGUAGCGCAAUCACUUGUCUUUUAAAUAGAGACCUGUAUGAAUGGCUAAACGAGGGCUUAACUGUCUCCCCUUUCAAGUCAGUGAAAUUGAUCUGCCCGUGCAGAAGCGGGUAUAAUAAUACAAGACGAGAAGACCCUUUGGAGCUUAAGGUACAAAACUCAACCACGUCAAGCAACUUAAUAAAAAGCAAAAACCUUGUGGAAUAUGAUAUUUUACCUUCGGUUGGGGCGACCACGGAGGAAAGAAAAGCCUCCAAGUGGACUGGGAAAACUUCCUAAAGCUAAGAGAGACAUCUCUAAGCCACAGAACAUCUGACCAAAUAUGAUCCGGCAACAAAGCCGAUCAACGAACCAAGUUACCCUAGGGAUAACAGCGCAAUCCUCUCCCAGAGUCCAUAUCGACGAGGGGGUUUACGACCUCGAUGUUGGAUCAGGACAUCCUAAUGGUGCAGCCGCUAUUAAGGGUUCGUUUGUUCAACGAUUAAAGUCCUACGUGAUCUAGUUUCAAAAACCGGGAAA
Molecule: ribosomal RNA, 640 nt
Filed under: Schizothorax grahami (Kunming snout trout)
Lineage: Eukaryota; Metazoa; Chordata; Actinopteri; Cypriniformes; Cyprinidae
Description: partial 16S ribosomal RNA
Rfam family: Bacterial large subunit ribosomal RNA
Source: RNAcentral